CGCUCAUCCAGAGGGGCAGAGGGAUACGGCCCGUUGAAGCCCCGGCAACCCUCCAGCCGGUCUUGCCGCAAGGACGCUGACGUCCCGCGCGCGAGGCUCCCGGCUAGGGAAGGUGCCAAAUCCGUCUCGUGGCGAGAUUCGCCGCGAGGAAGAUGAGGA
This 159-nucleotide non-coding RNA is filed under the name Streptomyces sp. Its description in RNAcentral is "SAM-I sequence". It matches the Rfam family "SAM riboswitch aptamer (S box leader)". From Rfam's summary of the family: The SAM riboswitch is found upstream of a number of genes which code for proteins involved in methionine or cysteine biosynthesis in Gram-positive bacteria. The record is from RNAcentral. Lineage: Bacteria; Bacillati; Actinomycetota; Actinomycetes; Kitasatosporales; Streptomycetaceae.